This 460-nucleotide ribosomal RNA is filed under the name uncultured bacterium. Its description in RNAcentral is "partial 16S ribosomal RNA". It matches the Rfam family "Bacterial small subunit ribosomal RNA", at positions 338 to 795 of the family's 1533-position model. The record is from RNAcentral.
CCUACGGGUGGCAGCAGUGAGGAAUAUUGGUCAAUGGACGAGAGUCUGAACCAGCCAAGUAGCGUGAAGGAUGACUGCCCUAUGGGUUGUAAACUUCUUUUAUAUGGGAAUAAAACGUUCCACGUGUGGGAUUUUGUAUGUACCAUAUGAAUAAGGAUCGGCUAACUCCGUGCCAGCAGCCGCGGUAAUACGGAGGAUACGAGCGUUAUCCGGAUUUAUUGGGUUUAAAGGGAGCGUAGGUGGAUUGUUAAGUCAGUUGUGAAAGUUUGCGGCUCAACCGUAAAAUUGCAGUUGAAACUGGCAGUCUUGAGUACAGUAGAGGUGGGCGGAAUUCGUGGUGUAGCGGUGAAAUGCUUAGAUAUCACGAAGAACUCCGAUUGCGAAGGCAGUUCACUGGACUGCAACUGACACAGAGGCUCGAAAGUGUGGGUAUCAAACAGGGUUAGAUACCCUUGUAGUC